UACGGAGGGUGCAAGCGUUGUCCGGAUUUAUUGGGUUUAAAGGGUGCGUAGGCGGCUAAUUAAGUCAGUGUUGAAAUUCGGCAGCUUAACUGUCGGCCCGGCAUUGAUACUGAAUAGCUUGAGUAAAGUAGAGGUAGGCGGAAUUUAUGGUGUAGCGGUGAAAUGCAUAGAUACCAUAAAGAACACCGAUUGCGAAGGCAGCUUGCUAUGCUUUAACUGACGCUGAGGCACGAAAGCGUGGGGAUCAAACAGG
This 253-nucleotide unclassified non-coding RNA is filed under the name uncultured Cytophagales bacterium. RNAcentral describes it as "contains 16S-23S intergenic spacer region". It matches the Rfam family "Bacterial small subunit ribosomal RNA", at positions 524 to 776 of the family's 1533-position model. The record is from RNAcentral. Lineage: Bacteria; Pseudomonadati; Bacteroidota; Sphingobacteriia; Sphingobacteriales.